Molecule: ribosomal RNA, 594 nt
Filed under: uncultured Bacteroidota bacterium
Lineage: Bacteria; Pseudomonadati; Bacteroidota
Description: uncultured Bacteroidetes bacterium partial 16S ribosomal RNA
Rfam family: Bacterial small subunit ribosomal RNA
Source: RNAcentral
CAACCUGCCUAUAACUAGGGAAUAACCUUGCGAAAGUAAGACUAAUACCCUAUGAUUUCCUUUGAUGACAUCANAUUAGGAAUAAAGAUUUAUCGGUUAUANAUGGGAUGCGUCUGAUUAGCUUGUUGGCGGGGUAACGGCCCACCAAGGCAACGAUCANUAGGGGUUCUGANAGGAAGGUCCCCCACAUUGGAACUGANACACGGUCCAAACUCCUACGGGAGGCAGCAGUGAGGAAUAUUGGUCAAUGGGCGGAAGCCUGAACCAGCCAAGUAGCGUGCAGGAUGACGGCCCUAUGGGUUGUAAACUGCUUUUAUACAGGAAUAAAGUUAGCCACGUGUGGUUAUUUGUAGGUACUGUAUGAAUAAGGACCGGCUAAUUCCGUGCCANCAGCCGCGGUAAUACGGAAGGUCCAGGCGUUAUCCGGAUUUAUUGGGUUUAAAGGGAGCGUAGGCCGUCUGUUAAGCGUGUUGUGAAAUGUAGAUGCUCAACAUCUGAAUUGCAGCGCGAACUGGCAGACUUGANUGUGCGCAACGUANGNGGAAUUCNUGGUGUAGCGGUGAAAUGCUUANAUAUCACGAAGANNUCCNAUUG